GUGCCAGCCGCCGCGGUAAUACGGAGGGUGCAAGCGUUGUCCGGAAUCACUGGGCGUAAAGGGUGCGCAGGCGGGGCAGCAAGUCGGAGGUGAAAGCCCGUGGCUCAACCACGGAAGUGCCUUCGAAACUGUUGCUCUUGAGUCCCGGAGAGGUUGCCGGAAUUCGUGGUGUAGCGGUGAAAUGCAUAGAUAUGCUACAGAACACCGAUAGCGAAAGCAGCUCACCAGACUACAACUGACGCUGAGGCACGAAAGCAUGGGUAGCAAACAGGAUUAGAUACCCCAGUAGUCC
This 292-nucleotide ribosomal RNA is filed under the name uncultured bacterium. RNAcentral's name for it is "partial 16S ribosomal RNA". It matches the Rfam family "Bacterial small subunit ribosomal RNA", at positions 505 to 796 of the family's 1533-position model. The record is from RNAcentral.